This 253-nucleotide ribosomal RNA is filed under the name uncultured bacterium. Its description in RNAcentral is "partial 16S ribosomal RNA". It matches the Rfam family "Bacterial small subunit ribosomal RNA", at positions 524 to 776 of the family's 1533-position model. The record is from RNAcentral.
GACGAAGGGGGCUAGCGUUGUUCGGAAUUACUGGGCGUAAAGCGCGUGUAGGCGGCUGCCUAAGUCGGGCGUGAAAGCCUUGAGCUCAACUCAAGAAAUGCACUCGAUACUUGGUGACUAGAGGACCGGAGAGGAUAGUGGAAUUCCCAGUGUAGUGGUGAAAUACGUAGAGAUUGGGAAGAACACCAGUGGCGAAGGCGGCUAUCUGGACGGUUUCUGACGCUAAGACGCGAAAGCGUGGGGAGCAAACAGG